CCUACGGGGGGCUGCAGUGAGGAAUAUUGGUCAAUGGGCGCAAGCCUGAACCAGCCAAGUCGCGUGAGGGAUGACGGUCCUAUGGAUUGUAAACCUCUUUUGUCGGGGAGCAAGGCCCGCCACGUGUGGCGGGAAGGAGAGUACCCGAAGAAAAAGCAUCGGCUAACUCCGUGCCAGCAGCCGCGGUAAUACGGAGGAUGCGAGCGUUAUCCGGAUUUAUUGGGUUUAAGGGGUGCGUAGGCGGACGGUUAAGUCAGCGGUAAAAUGUCGGUGCUCAACACCGGCCUGCCGUUGAAACUGGUCUUCUUGAGUGAGCGAGAAGUAUGCGGAAUGUGUGGUGUAGCGGUGAAAUGCAUAGAUAUCACGCAGAACUCCGAUUGCGAAGGCAGCAUACCGGCGCUCAACUGACGCUGAGGCACGAAAGCGUGGGGAUCGAACAGGAUUAGAUACCCUUGUAGUC
Molecule: ribosomal RNA, 460 nt
Filed under: uncultured bacterium
Lineage: Bacteria
Description: partial 16S ribosomal RNA
Rfam family: Bacterial small subunit ribosomal RNA
Source: RNAcentral